Molecule: transfer RNA, 73 nt
Filed under: Marmota monax (woodchuck)
Lineage: Eukaryota; Metazoa; Chordata; Mammalia; Rodentia; Sciuridae
Description: tRNA.Val
Rfam family: tRNA (bases 7-67)
About the family: Transfer RNA (tRNA) molecules are approximately 80 nucleotides in length. Their secondary structure includes four short double-helical elements and three loops (D, anti-codon, and T loops).
Source: RNAcentral
UGAGGCUGUGGCUCAGUGGUAGAGCCCUUGCCUCACAUGUGUGAGGCACUGAGUUCAAUUCUCAGCACCACAA